This 353-nucleotide long non-coding RNA is filed under the name Homo sapiens (human). RNAcentral describes it as "non-protein coding lnc-NRG2-9:1". The record is from RNAcentral. Lineage: Eukaryota; Metazoa; Chordata; Mammalia; Primates; Hominidae.
GCUCAAAGUGAUGGGAACGGCCUGAGCUUCCUGAUCAAUCGCUUAAAAUUCAGGGUCGGCUCGCUCGCGGGAGAGGGCUGCCUGCCAGCCCCGCGCACCGCGCUCUGCCGCCUCCCCCUACACCCCCUCCUUGCUUUGGCGGGGCGAUGCUGUCGUAUUGGAAAACAUCCCCGCGCUGGCUGGGGGGCCCGGUGGGGCCAGCGCUGGAAGCCGUUCCACUCGAGCAGAUGGCUGUGAAACUUUGGCGGCGAGAUAAAUUGGGUCUGACGGCGUGAGGCCGGCUCACAGAUGGGCGGGAUUCUCACGCCGGCCCCCACGUCCGGCCGGGCUGCGGGCAGGGCCGACACCGCUCA